CACGUCAUCCCCACCUUCCUCCGGUUUGGCACCGGCAGUCCCCCGAGAGUCCUCAGCGCCUUGCGGCCUGUUAGCAACACGGGGCGGGGGUUGCGCUCGUUGCGGGACUUAACCCAACAUCUCACGACACGAGCUGACGACAGCCAUGCAGCACCUGUGCUGGAGCUCCGAAGAGGGGCCAAUGUUUCCAUCAGCUUUCCCCAGCAUGUCAAGCCUAGGUAAGGUUCUGCGCGUUGCGUCGAAUUAAACCACAUGCUCCACCGCUUGUGCGGGCCCCCGUCAAUUCCUUUGAGUUUCAGCCUUGCGGCCGUACUCCCCAGGCGGGGCACUUCAUGCGUUAGCGCCGGUACUCCAAGGGUCGCUCCCCGGAGCACCUAGUGCCCAUCGUUUACGGCGUGGA
RNAcentral lists this unclassified non-coding RNA (400 nucleotides) under uncultured fungus. RNAcentral describes it as "sequence contains ITS1". Lineage: Eukaryota; Fungi. The record is from RNAcentral.